AAGAAUGUGCUCACUUUCUUUCUCCAUUAGGAUCUUUACCCUUUCCUAAUUUGAUUGUGGGCACUCUUAA
This 70-nucleotide non-coding RNA is filed under the name unclassified sequences. RNAcentral's name for it is "potC RNA". It matches the Rfam family "potC RNA". The record is from RNAcentral.